ACCCCACUAUGCCUAGCCUUAAACACUGAUCAAGCUACAUUAUUACAUCCGCCCGGGAACUACGAGCCGCAGCUUAAAACCCAAAGGACUUGGCGGUGCCCCAAACCCACCUAGAGGAGCCUGUUCUAUAAUCGAUACCCCCCGCUUAACCUCACCCCUCCUCGCCAGCAGCCUAUAUACCACCGUCGCCAGCCCACCUCAUGAGAGAAAGCAAGUAGGCACAAUGGUAGCCACCAAAACGUCAGGUCAAGGUGUAGCUCAUGGAGCGGAAAGAAAUGGGCUACACUUUCUACACAGAAGAUACGAAAGACCACUAUGAAACCUGGUCUGAAGGCGGAUUUAGUAGUAAAAAGAUUCAAGAGUGUUCUUUUUAAUCCGGCCCUGGGGCGCGCACACACCGCCCG
This 404-nucleotide ribosomal RNA is filed under the name Alytes cisternasii (Iberian midwife toad). RNAcentral describes it as "partial 12S ribosomal RNA". It matches the Rfam family "Bacterial small subunit ribosomal RNA", at positions 784 to 1396 of the family's 1533-position model. The record is from RNAcentral. Lineage: Eukaryota; Metazoa; Chordata; Amphibia; Anura; Alytidae.